UGUUGUAUGCAAAUGGUAAUUUCACUUAUGAAAUGGUCAAUACCCAAGGGGAAAAUUGCCAUGGAUGGCAAUUUUAGGAAAUAUAGGACAGGAUGUCCGUUAUUUCCGCCCCAAUCGGUUCCGUUGUUUUAUCCAUUUCAUUAGUGAAAUCCGAUUGCAAACCUCA
This is a regulatory RNA element of Lachnospiraceae bacterium 28-4, 166 nucleotides long. The record is from Rfam. Lineage: Bacteria; Bacillati; Bacillota; Clostridia; Lachnospirales; Lachnospiraceae.